UGAGCGGCGGACGGGUGAGUAACGCGUGGGUAACCUGCCUCAUACAGGGGGAUAACAGUUAGAAAUGACUGCUAAUACCGCAUAAGACCACAGCACCGCAUGGUGCGGGGGUAAAAACUCCGGUGGUAUGAGAUGGACCCGCGUCUGAUUAGGUAGUUGGUGGGGUAACGGCCUACCAAGCCGACGAUCAGUAGCCGACCUGAGAGGGUGACCGGCCACAUUGGGACUGAGACACGGCCCAA
RNAcentral lists this ribosomal RNA (242 nucleotides) under uncultured bacterium. RNAcentral describes it as "partial 16S ribosomal RNA". It matches the Rfam family "Bacterial small subunit ribosomal RNA", at positions 92 to 334 of the family's 1533-position model. The record is from RNAcentral.